AUUUUUCUCAAUGGGCGAAAGCCUGAAGGAGCGACGCCGCGUGGAGGAUGAAGGUUUUCGGAUUGUAAACUCCUGUCAUUGGGGAACAAUGCAACGGAGAGUAACUGCUCUGUUGUUGAUAGUACCCGAAGAGGAAGGGACGGCUAACUCUGUGCCAGCAGCCGCGGUAAUACAGAGGUCCCAAGCGUUGUUCGGAUUCAUUGGGCGUAAAGGGUGCGUAGGCGGCGAUGUAAGUUGGAUGUGAAAUCCCGGGGCUCAACCCCGGAACUGCAUUCAAUACUGCGUUGCUAGAGUACUGGAGAGGAGAUUGGAAUUCACGGUGUAGCAGUGAAAUGCGUAGAUAUCGUGAGGAAGACCAGUGGCGAAGGCGAAUCUCUGGACAGUAACUGACGCUGAGGCACGAAGGCUAGGGGAGCAAACGGG
RNAcentral lists this ribosomal RNA (423 nucleotides) under uncultured bacterium. Its description in RNAcentral is "bacterial SSU rRNA". It matches the Rfam family "Bacterial small subunit ribosomal RNA", at positions 361 to 776 of the family's 1533-position model. The record is from RNAcentral.